Long non-coding RNA from Bactrocera neohumeralis, 482 nucleotides. RefSeq lists it as uncharacterized. The record is from RefSeq and is a predicted model, not a curated record. Lineage: Eukaryota; Metazoa; Arthropoda; Insecta; Diptera; Tephritidae. The transcript has 2 exons.
CUAUUUGAUGUAUCAGAAUCAAAAAACUGAGUCAUAAUCAUUUAACUGUAACGAAUUAUUAAAGUGGAGGUUAAAUUGAAUUCCUAAUAUACAUAGAAAACAUCAAUUCUGAACAGCAGUGCCUGCCCAUAUAUUCAAUAAAUUUAACCCACGAUUCAAGCCGAAGAAUUUGGAUAUUAAUAUCCUGAAUGGAGUAUCUUAAGUAAGCCACGAAGUUUCUAAUACCCUGAAGCAAACGAUCUGAGUCGAUUUAGCCAUCUCUGUAUAAACGCGAACUAAUCGCUUCGUUUUAGAGAUAUCAUUCUAAAAACGUCCUCUUCUUCCUAAGAAGCCGAUCAUCGAUAGCGUACCACCAUACGAUCGAGCUGACAUACAAACUGAAUCAAAUCAAGUUUUUGUAUGAACAUUUUUUUAUUUGUCAACUGUAUUUUUCUUGUUCUCUUUCAGAGAAACUAAGAAAAUAAUAAAUAAAUAAAUAAUAA